Molecule: ribosomal RNA, 499 nt
Filed under: uncultured bacterium
Lineage: Bacteria
Description: partial 16S ribosomal RNA
Rfam family: Bacterial small subunit ribosomal RNA
Source: RNAcentral
GACGAACGCUGGCGGCGUGCUUAACACAUGCAAGUCGAACGGGCCCGCUCUCUUUUUUGGGGGUGGGUUGAGUGGCGAACGGGUGAGUAUCACGUGAGUAACCUGCCCCCUGCUCCUGGAUAACUGCUUGAAAGGGCGGCUAAUACGGGGUGUGCCGGCUGGUCCGCAUGGGCCUGGUCGGGAUAGUUUCAUCUUCGGGUGUUUCGGUGGGGGAUGGGCUCGCGGCCUAUCAGCUUGUUGGUGGGGUGAUUGCCCACCAAGGCGGUGACGGGUAGCCGGCCUGAGAGGGUGGGCGGCCACGCGGGGGCUGGGACACGGCCCAGAUGCCUGCGGGAGGAAGCAGUGGGGGGUAUUGCAAAAGGGGCGGAAGCCUGAUGCAGCGACGUCGCGUGAGGGAUGGAGGCCUUCGGGUUGGGAGCCUCUUUCUCCGGUGGUGAAGGCCCUGUCCGUUGCGGCGGGGUUGACGGUAGCCGGGUAUGAAGCGCCGGCUAACUACGUG